This is a non-coding RNA of Candidatus Parcubacteria bacterium 4484_255, 1810 nucleotides long. NCBI's taxonomy places the organism in Bacteria, Candidatus Parcubacteria. The record is from Rfam.
ACCUAUUUUUUUACAGGCAAAUGGUGGAUGCCUUGGGAUCGGUAGGCGAGGAAAGACGUGGCGUGGCUGCGAUAAGCUUCGGGGAGGUGCCUAGCAACCUUUGAACCGGAGAUUUCUGAAUGGGGAAACCCAAUUCUGCUAUAAACAGAAUUAGCUCUAAGCAUUAGCAAGGAGCGGCGACACCUGGGGAAGUGAAACAUCUCAGUACCCAGAGGAAUAGAAAAAAAGCUUUGCCUUUGGCAGAGCCAUUCUCUUAGUAGCGGCGAGCGAAAAGAGAGUAGCCCAAACUUAACUUGCGCUUUGCACAAGUUAAGGGUUGUAGGAGAAUUUCGUCAGGAUACCAAGUAUUGAGUAUAGUUUUUUGUGCUUCAAUACUUGGAUAUCGUUGAGAGAGUUUACAAAGUAAAUUGUUAGCCGAACACUCUGGAAAGAGUGGCUAAAGAGGGUGAUAGCCCCGUAGGCGAAAAUGAUUUACACUCUUUGAAGUUUUUCCUGAGUACCGUCAAACACGAUAAUUUGGCGGGAAACAAGCUGGACUAUCAGCUAAGGCUAAAUACUAACCGAUCACCGAUAGUGAACUAGUACCGUGAGGGAAAGGUGAAAAGUAGCCCGGUGAGGGCGGUGAAACAGUACCUGAAACCAUUUUGCCUACAAAGAGUCAGAGCCCCUUUAUGGGGUGAUGGCGUGCUUUUUGCAGAACGAGCCAACGACUUUAGGUGUACAGCUAGCUUAAGCUCUUCCGGAGCUGAGGCUUAGCGAAAGCAAGUGUUAACGCGCGUUUAGUUGUAUGCCUAAGACCCGAAGCCAGGCGAUCUUGCCUUGGGCAGGAUGAAUUUAGACGAAAGUCUAAAGGAGGUCCGAACCCGUAGGUCGUGCAAUUCCUUGGGAUGACCUGAGGUAAGCAGUGAAAAGCUAAUCGAGCUUGGUAAUAGCUGGUUCUCCUCGAAAUAGUUUUAGGACUAGCCCUUCAUGUAUGAUUCCGGGGGUAGAGCACUGGAUGGGAUAUCUUGGUUUUUCCGGAUACCUCAACCAAACUCCGAAUACCGGAAUUUUUGUGGAGGAGUCAGACUGUGGGGGCUAAGCUCCAUGGUCAAAAGGGAAACAGCCCAGACCCUCAUCUAAGGUCCCUAAAUUUGAACUAAGUGUUAUAAAGGAGGUGAAAUUCUUCAGACAACUAGGAGGUUAGCUUAGAAGCAGCUAUCCUUUAAAGAGUGCGUAAUUGCUCACUAGUCAAAGGAUUUCGCGCCAAAGAUUUAGCGGGACUAAGUUCAAUACCGAAGAUAGGGAGCUCUAUGUUUUUACAUAGGGUUGGUAGAGGAGCGUUCUCUUGGCAACGAAGUUAAAUCGUGAGGUUUGAUGGAGCUAAGAGAAGUGAGAAUGUUGGCAUGAGUAACCGCAAACGCGUCGAGAACACGCGUCACCGAAAACCUAAGGUUUCCUUGGCAAUGACAAUCAGCCAAGGGUUAGGCGGUCCUAAGGGAGAGCCGAAAGGCGUACCCGAUGGACAACCGGUUAAUAUUCCGGUCCCAUGUUUUUCUUUCUUCAGAGUGCGGAAUCUAGUAGGCAAGGCGAGUUAUUGGAUUCUCGUUGGCAGCCUGAGUUUUAACAAGGGCUGUCAGGAAGCUUAUCUUCGGAUAAGUGAACCUUGUUGAGCAGGUUUCCAAGAAAAGCUCUGACGAGUUAAGGAAAAUGUGUCCGUACCGAAAACCGAAACAGGUGGGUUGGUAUAAGAGUACCAAGGUGAACGAGUGAAACCUCGUUAAGGAAUUCGGCAAACAAGUGGCCGUAACUUCGGGAUAAGGCCUGCCGC